GACGAACGCUGGCGGCGUGCCUAACACAUGCAAGUCGAGCGAGGAGAGUUCCUUCGGGAACAAACCUAGCGGCGGACGGGUGAGUAACACGUGGGCAACCUGCCUUGUAGAGGGAAUAGCCUUCCGAAAGGAAGAUUAAUACCGCAUAACAUUACAGUUUCGCAUGAACCAGUAAUUAAAGGAGUAAUCCGCUACAAGAUGGGCCCGCGGCGCAUUAGCUAGUUGGUGAGGUAACGGCUCACCAAGGCGACGAUGCGUAGCCGACCUGAGAGGGUGAUCGGCCACAUUGGGACUGAGACACGGCCCAGACUCCUACGGGAGGCAGCAGUGGGGAAUAUUGCACAAUGGGGGAAACCCUGAUGCAGCAACGCCGCGUGAGUGAUGAAGGUUUUCGGAUCGCAAAGCUCUGUCUUCGGGGACGAUAAUGACGGUACCCGAGGAGGAAGCCACGGCUAACUACGUG
This 463-nucleotide ribosomal RNA is filed under the name uncultured bacterium. RNAcentral describes it as "bacterial SSU rRNA". It matches the Rfam family "Bacterial small subunit ribosomal RNA", at positions 28 to 507 of the family's 1533-position model. The record is from RNAcentral.